This 490-nucleotide ribosomal RNA is filed under the name uncultured bacterium. RNAcentral describes it as "partial 16S ribosomal RNA". It matches the Rfam family "Bacterial small subunit ribosomal RNA", at positions 30 to 507 of the family's 1533-position model. The record is from RNAcentral.
AUUGAACGCUGGCGGCAGGCCUAACACAUGCAAGUCGAACGGUAACAGGAAGCAGCUUGCUGCUUUGCUGACGAGUGGCGGACGGGUGAGUAAUGUCUGGGAAACUGCCCGAUGGAGGGGGAUAACUACUGGAAACGGUAGCUAAUACCGCAUAACGUCGCAAGACCAAAGAGGGGGACCUUAGGGCCUCUUGCCAUCGGAUGUGCCCAGAUGGGAUUAGCUAGUAGGUGGGGUAACGGCUCACCUAGGCGACGAUCCCUAGCUGGUCUGAGAGGAUGACCAGCCACACUGGAACUGAGACACGGUCCAGACUCCUACGGGAGGCAGCAGUGGGGAAUAUUGCACAAUGGGCGCAAGCCUGAUGCAGCCAUGCCGCGUGUAUGAAGAAGGCCUUCGGGUUGUAAAGUACUUUCAGCGGGGAGGAAGGGAGUAAAGUUAAUACCUUUGCUCAUUGACGUUACCCGCAGAAGAAGCACCGGCUAACUACGUG